ACCCUAUCAAUAUUGCCUCUGCUU
Molecule: microRNA, 24 nt
Filed under: Gallus gallus (chicken)
Lineage: Eukaryota; Metazoa; Chordata; Aves; Galliformes; Phasianidae
Description: microRNA Ros-gga
Source: RNAcentral